GGGGAUGCACCGGCUUCGACUGAGGUGAUUCGCGAUCUUGAGUUGCAGGUGGAGUGCCGACCUCCUGAUUCGGCAAAAACAUUAACUGCCAAAAAAGAAGAAAACUUCGAAGAGCAGUACGCUCUCGCUGCGUAAGCAGUGAAGACCGGAACCCGGACUGUGCCGCCUUGAACGGUCCGGUGUUCUGACGCCAACCAGGGCUUGCCAUACAGAGUGUCCGGUAUCUGUAUGGGACGUUAAUCGGAAUACGGGAUCGACGCUUGCGGUGCUGACACCGGUCCCCGACAACUACCUCGCGCCGAUAAACCUGUAGAGAUUCCUGGUCCGCACUUUAGGACGGGGGUUCGACUCCCCCCAUCUCCAUGU
RNAcentral lists this transfer-messenger RNA (366 nucleotides) under Spirochaetaceae bacterium. It matches the Rfam family "transfer-messenger RNA". From Rfam's summary of the family: Bacterial tmRNA, also known as 10Sa RNA or SsrA, is named for its dual tRNA and mRNA-like properties. Its role is to liberate the mRNA from a stalled ribosome. Lineage: Bacteria; Pseudomonadati; Spirochaetota; Spirochaetia; Spirochaetales; Spirochaetaceae. The record is from RNAcentral.